UCCCUUCAAAUCGGCGCCGCCUCUCCCUAUAUUGAGGGUGCCGUCUUUCGGGGCGGCUAUGGCGAUACACGGCGAUCGUAAUAAACCCAUCGGACCCGGGGGCAGUACCCGGCGCCUCCACCUGAAGCCCGCGUGCGGCCUUCAGGCGGGGGCGAAACAGGAUCGACGAGGGCGUAAAGGGUUGGUCGUCGCCCGGCAUGAUUCCGCCGUUAUCGGGUCACCUUAAUAGUUGCCAACGACAACUAUGCUCCGGUUGCUCAGGCCGCGUAACGCGGUUUGAUAGACCGAAUCCAAGUCCUUCAGGUUAGCCCCUGAAGGCGGGGCCGGCAGGGGCCUGGCAACAGAACCCUGCCACU
RNAcentral lists this transfer-messenger RNA (356 nucleotides) under Methylobacterium sp. It matches the Rfam family "Alphaproteobacteria transfer-messenger RNA". From Rfam's summary of the family: Bacterial tmRNA, also known as 10Sa RNA or SsrA, is named for its dual tRNA and mRNA-like properties. Lineage: Bacteria; Pseudomonadati; Pseudomonadota; Alphaproteobacteria; Hyphomicrobiales; Methylobacteriaceae. The record is from RNAcentral.